This 49-nucleotide non-coding RNA is filed under the name Trichobilharzia regenti. The record is from RNAcentral. Lineage: Eukaryota; Metazoa; Platyhelminthes; Trematoda; Strigeidida; Schistosomatidae.
ACCUAGAUGACGAGUUCCAAACAGGACGAAACGUGCAUCCUUGCUGGAU